This 897-nucleotide ribosomal RNA is filed under the name Chaetomium globosum var. flavoviride. Its description in RNAcentral is "LSU rRNA". It matches the Rfam family "Eukaryotic large subunit ribosomal RNA", at positions 38 to 968 of the family's 3401-position model. Lineage: Eukaryota; Fungi; Ascomycota; Sordariomycetes; Sordariales; Chaetomiaceae. The record is from RNAcentral.
GCAUAUCAAUAAGCGGAGGAAAAGAAACCAACAGGGAUUGCCCUAGUAACGGCGAGUGAAGCGGCAACAGCUCAAAUUUGAAAUCUGGCUUCGGCCCGAGUUGUAAUUUGCAGAGGAAGCUUUAGGCGCGGCACCUUCUGAGUCCCCUGGAACGGGGCGCCAUAGAGGGUGAGAGCCCCGUAUAGUUGGAUGCCUAGCCUGUGUAAAGCUCCUUCGACGAGUCGAGUAGUUUGGGAAUGCUGCUCAAAAUGGGAGGUAAAUUUCUUCUAAAGCUAAAUACCGGCCAGAGACCGAUAGCGCACAAGUAGAGUGAUCGAAAGAUGAAAAGCACUUUGAAAAGAGGGUUAAAUAGCACGUGAAAUUGUUGAAAGGGAAGCGCUUGUGACCAGACUUGCGCCGGGCGGAUCAUCCGGUGUUCUCACCGGUGCACUCCGCCCGGCUCAGGCCAGCAUCGGUUCUCGCGGGGGGAUAAAGGUCCUGGGAACGUAGCUCCUCCGGGAGUGUUAUAGCCCGGGGCGUAAUGCCCUCGCGGGGACCGAGGUUCGCGCAUCUGCAAGGAUGCUGGCGUAAUGGUCAUCAGCGACCCGUCUUGAAACACGGACCAAGGAGUCAAGGUUUUGCGCGAGUGUUUGGGUGUAAAACCCGCACGCGUAAUGAAAGUGAACGUAGGUGAGAGCUUCGGCGCAUCAUCGACCGAUCCUGAUGUUUUCGGAUGGAUUUGAGUAGGAGCGUUAAGCCUUGGACCCGAAAGAUGGUGAACUAUGCUUGGAUAGGGUGAAGCCAGAGGAAACUCUGGUGGAGGCUCGCAGCGGUUCUGACGUGCAAAUCGAUCGUCAAAUCUGAGCAUGGGGGCGAAAGACUAAUCGAACCAUCUAGUAGCUGGUUACCGCCGAAGUU